RNAcentral lists this ribosomal RNA (502 nucleotides) under Escherichia coli. RNAcentral's name for it is "bacterial LSU rRNA". It matches the Rfam family "Bacterial large subunit ribosomal RNA", at positions 1291 to 1788 of the family's 2925-position model. The record is from RNAcentral. Lineage: Bacteria; Pseudomonadati; Pseudomonadota; Gammaproteobacteria; Enterobacterales; Enterobacteriaceae.
CGAAUGCUGACAUAAGUAACGAUAAAGCGGGUGAAAAGCCCGCUCGCCGGAAGACCAAGGGUUCCUGUCCAACGUUAAUCGGGGCAGGGUGAGUCGACCCCUAAGGCGAGGCCGAAAGGCGUAGUCGAUGGGAAACAGGUUAAUAUUCCUGUACUUGGUGUUACUGCGAAGGGGGGACGGAGAAGGCUAUGUUGGCCGGGCGACGGUUGUCCCGGUUUAAGCGUGUAGGCUGGUUUUCCAGGCAAAUCCGGAAAAUCAAGGCUGAGGCGUGAUGACGAGGCACUACGGUGCUGAAGCAACAAAUGCCCUGCUUCCAGGAAAAGCCUCUAAGCAUCAGGUAACAUCAAAUCGUACCCCAAACCGACACAGGUGGUCAGGUAGAGAAUACCAAGGCGCUUGAGAGAACUCGGGUGAAGGAACUAGGCAAAAUGGUGCCGUAACUUCGGGAGAAGGCACGCUGAUAUGUAGGUGAAGUCCCUCGCGGAUGGAGCUGAAAUCAGUC